RNAcentral lists this ribosomal RNA (339 nucleotides) under Triticum aestivum (bread wheat). Its description in RNAcentral is "partial small subunit ribosomal RNA". The record is from RNAcentral. Lineage: Eukaryota; Viridiplantae; Streptophyta; Magnoliopsida; Poales; Poaceae.
CAAAGGAUUGCAGGGAAGGAUUACUCGCCCUAUGCGCCAACGGCAUGUCGCUCGCGGCGGCCGGUCCUCCCCUGUUGCGCCUUGGCUACUGCUUCCCUUCCUCCGACCUGCUCCUCGCCGCAAGCCAGGCUACCCUCCACUUCUCUUCUUCUAGAAAACGCCGCACGCACCUGAUGGUCGCUCCACCUCCGGCGGAAAAUCGGCUGCGGAUUCGCCGAACUCGUCGACGCCCACAGGAUUGAACCUCGCCCGAUUUGGGGGAUUUGGGAUGGGAGUCAUGAGGAGAGAGCACUGAGGUUGCAGUUUCGAAACGAGCGUCGGUAGUGGGAGGGGGUGGAC